RNAcentral lists this ribosomal RNA (360 nucleotides) under Triticum aestivum (bread wheat). RNAcentral describes it as "partial small subunit ribosomal RNA". The record is from RNAcentral. Lineage: Eukaryota; Viridiplantae; Streptophyta; Magnoliopsida; Poales; Poaceae.
AUGCCCAAAAAGAGUGGCCUGGUAGUGGGGCUGGCCGCUGAUCUAAUUCCUAAUGGAGUAGCAGUUCUUCAGUAUGCGGACGAUACCAUCAUAUGCCUGGAGCAUGACAUUGAUAAAGCUGUUAACUUGAAAAUGCUUCUCCAUAUAUUUGAAUUAUUGUCUGGUCUUAAGGUGAACUUCCAGAAAAGUGAGAUCCUCACUGUGGGAGGCGAUGAUAAUGUGGUGAAUGUGUAUGCAGACUUAUUUCAUUGCGAAGUGGGCAGUUUUCCCAUGAAAUAUCUAGGGAUGCCUGUCAGCUAUACCAACCUUAGAAAUUCAGAUUGGGAAUUCAUUGUUACUAAAUAUCUGAAAAAAAUUUGA